RNAcentral lists this ribosomal RNA (604 nucleotides) under uncultured Pleosporales. Its description in RNAcentral is "eukaryotic LSU rRNA". The stretch from base 231 to 384 matches the Rfam family "5.8S ribosomal RNA". Lineage: Eukaryota; Fungi; Ascomycota; Dothideomycetes; Pleosporales. The record is from RNAcentral.
AAGUUCGAGUGACCUGCGGAGGAUCAUUACUAUUCCGGUCUUCCGAGACCGCGUCUUCAACUCGGCCGCAGGACCUCCACGCAAGCGUCUAGGAAUGCGGUCGAGGCGGAGUAAACCCUUGCCUAUGAGUACCCUUUGUUCCCUCGGCGGGCUUGCGCCCGUCGAUGGGCCCAACCAAAACCCCUUUGCAGUAGCAGUAUACCUCUGAUCGUGGGCAUUUGAAUCUUAACAACUUUCAACAACGGAUCUCUUGGUUCUGGCAUCGAUGAAGAACGCAGCGAAAUGCGAUAAGUAGUGUGAAUUGCAGAAUUCAGUGAAUCAUCGAAUCUUUGAACGCACAUUGCGCCCCUCGGUAUUCCGUGGGGCAUGCCUGUUCGAGCGUCAUUACACCCCUCAAGCUCUGCUUGGUGUUGGGCCUCUGUCGCGCCUCUCCCGGCGCCGACUGGCCUUAAAUGCUCUGGUAGCCUCCUUGCCGGCCCUCUCAGCGCAGCAGUUCGCGCCUGCGAGCCGGCAGGAGUGCUGCCUCCACCGAAGAACCCCCCGAGUUUGACCUCGAAUCAGGUAGGGAUACCCGCUGAACUUAAGCAUAUCAAUAAGCGGAGGA